UACAGAGGUGGCAAGCGUUGUUCGGAAUUACUGGGCGUAAAGGGCGCGUAGGCGGUCUUGCAAGUCCUGUGUGAAAUCCCUCGGCUCAACUGAGGAACUGCACAGGAAACUGCUUGGCUUGAGUUCGGGAGAGGGAAGCGGAAUUCCGGGUGUAGCGGUGAAAUGUGUAGAGAUCGGGAGGAACACCGGUGGCGAAGGCGGGUCUCUGGGCAUCUCCUGACGCUGAGGCGCGAAAGCUAGGGGAUCAAACAGG
RNAcentral lists this ribosomal RNA (253 nucleotides) under uncultured bacterium. Its description in RNAcentral is "partial 16S ribosomal RNA". It matches the Rfam family "Bacterial small subunit ribosomal RNA", at positions 524 to 776 of the family's 1533-position model. The record is from RNAcentral.